AUACGUAGGUGGCAAGCGUUGUCCGGAAUUACUGGGUGUAAAGGGCGUGUAGGCGGGGAUGCAAGUCAGAUGUGAAACCCCAUGGCUCAACUGUGGGCUUGCAUCUGAAACUGUGUUUCUUGAGUGUUGGAGAGGGAAGUGGAAUUCCUAGUGUAGCGGUGAAAUGCGUAGAGAUUAGGAGGAACACCAGUGGCGAAGGCGACUUCCUGGCCAACAGCUGACGCUGAGGCGCGAAAGCGUGGGGAGCAAACAGGAUUAGAUACCCUGGUAGUCCACGCCGUAAACGAUGGAUACUAGGUGUAGGUGGUAUAAGCCAUCUGUGCCGCAGUAAACACAUUAAGUAUCCCACCUGGGGAGUACGACCGCAAGGUUGAA
RNAcentral lists this ribosomal RNA (375 nucleotides) under uncultured bacterium. Its description in RNAcentral is "bacterial SSU rRNA". It matches the Rfam family "Bacterial small subunit ribosomal RNA", at positions 523 to 898 of the family's 1533-position model. The record is from RNAcentral.